This 67-nucleotide transfer RNA is filed under the name Scapholeberis mucronata. RNAcentral's name for it is "tRNA-Asp". Lineage: Eukaryota; Metazoa; Arthropoda; Branchiopoda; Diplostraca; Daphniidae. The record is from RNAcentral.
GAGAAGUUAGUUAAGACAUAAUAACGUAAGCUUGUCAUGCUUAAGUGGUCUUUUUAGACACUUCUUU